This 253-nucleotide ribosomal RNA is filed under the name uncultured bacterium. RNAcentral describes it as "partial 16S ribosomal RNA". It matches the Rfam family "Bacterial small subunit ribosomal RNA", at positions 524 to 776 of the family's 1533-position model. The record is from RNAcentral.
UACGUAGGGCGCAAGCGUUAUCCGGAAUUAUUGGGCGUAAAGAGCUCGUAGGCGGUUUGUCGCGUCUGCCGUGAAAGUCCGGGGCUCAACUCCGGAUCUGCGGUGGGUACGGGCAGACUAGAGUGCAGUAGGGGAGACUGGAAUUCCUGGUGUAGCGGUGAAAUGCGCAGAUAUCAGGAGGAACACCGAUGGCGAAGGCAGGUCUCUGGGCUGUAACUGACGCUCAUGCACGAAAGCGUGGGUAGCAAACAGG